Neoarius graeffei (lesser salmon catfish) is the source of this 197-nucleotide small nuclear RNA. RefSeq annotates it as U2 spliceosomal RNA. The transcript has a single exon. Lineage: Eukaryota; Metazoa; Chordata; Actinopteri; Siluriformes; Ariidae. The record is from RefSeq and is a predicted model, not a curated record.
CUCGCUUCUCGGCCUUUUGGCUAAGAUCAAGUGUAGUCUCUGUUCUUAUCAGUUUAACAUCUGACAUGUUCUCUAAACGAGGACGUGAUAUUAAACAGAUUUUUAGUUGGUGCUUGGUUGGGGUAGCAUUAAGGAGCUCUCUCGCACACCGAGCAGAGCCACGCCGCACCAAGCAUCCCUGCCAACCAGGUUCCCUU